GGUUAAGCGACUAAGCGUACACGGUGGAUGCCCUGGCAGUCAGAGGCGAUGAAGGACGUGCUAAUCUGCGAAAAGCGUCGGUAAGGUGAUAUGAACCGUUACAGCCGGCGAUGUCCGAAUGGGGAAACCCAGUGCAAUUCGUUGCACUAUCGUUUGAUGAAUACAUAGUCAAACGAGGCGAACCGGGGGAACUGAAACAUCUAAGUACCCCGAGGAAAAGAAAUCAACCGAGAUUCCCCCAGUAGCGGCGAGCGAACGGGGAGCAGCCCGGAGUCUGAAUCAGCUUGUGUGUUAGUGGAAGCGUCUGGAAAGUCGCAGGGUACAGGGUGAUACUCCCGUACACUAAAACACACAGGUUGUGAACUCGAAGAGUAGGGCGGGACACGUGGUAUCCUGUCUGAAUAUGGGGGGACCAUCCUCCAAGGCUAAAUACUCCUGACUGACCGAUAGUGAACCAGUACCGUGAGGGAAAGGCGAAAAGAACCCCGGCGAGGGGAGUGAAAAAGAACCUGAAACCGUGUACGUACAAGCAGUAGGAGCCCACUUGUGGGGUGACUGCGUACCUUUUGUAUAAUGGGUCAGCGACUUAUAUUCUGUAGCAAGGUUAACCGUAUAGGGGAGCCGCAGGGAAACCGAGUCUUAACUGGGCGUUAAGUUGCAGGGUAUAGACCCGAAACCCGGUGAUCUAGCCAUGGGCAGGUUGAAGGUUGGGUAACACUAACUGGAGGACCGAACCGACUAAUGUUGAAAAAUUAGCGGAUGACUUGUGGCUGGGGGUGAAAGGCCAAUCAAACCGGGAGAUAGCUGGUUCUCCCCGAAAGCUAUUUAGGUAGCGCCUCGUGAACUCAUCUUCGGGGGUAGAGCACUGUUUCGGCUAGGGGGUCAUCCCGACUUACCAACCCGAUGCAAACUACGAAUACCGAAGAAUGUUAUCACGGGAGACACACGGCGGGUGCUAACGUCCGUCGUGAAGAGGGAAACAACCCAGACCGCCAGCUAAGGUCCCAAAGUCAUGGUUAAGUGGGAAACGAUGUGGGAAGGCCCAGACAGCCAGGAUGUUGGCUUAGAAGCAGCCAUCAUUUAAAGAAAGCGUAAUAGCUCACUGGUCGAGUCGGCCUGCGCGGAAGAUGUAACGGGGCUAAACCAUGCACCGAAGCUGCGGCAGCGACACUAUGUGUUGUUGGGUAGGGGAGCGUUCUGUAAGCCGUUGAAGGUGGCCUGUGAGGGUUGCUGGAGGUAUCAGAAGUGCGAAUGCUGACAUAAGUAACGAUAAUGCGGGUGAAAAACCCGCACGCCGGAAGACCAAGGGUUCCUGUCCAACGUUAAUCGGGGCAGGGUGAGUCGACCCCUAAGGCGAGGCCGAAAGGCGUAGUCGAUGGGAAACAGGUUAAUAUUCCUGUACUCGGUGUUACUGCGAAGGGGGGACGGAGAAGGCUAUGUUGGCCGGGCGACGGUUGUCCCGGUUUAAGCAUGUAGGCGGAUGUUCCAGGUAAAUCCGGAACGUUAUUAACGCUGAGGUGUGAUGACGAGGCACUACGGUGCUGAAGUGACAAAUGCCCUGCUUCCAGGAAAAGCCUCUAAGCAUCAGGUAACAUCAAAUCGUACCCCAAACCGACACAGGUGGUCAGGUAGAGAAUACCAAGGCGCUUGAGAGAACUCGGGUGAAGGAACUAGGCAAAAUGGUGCCGUAACUUCGGGAGAAGGCACGCUGAUGGUAGGUGAAGUGACUUGCUCAUGGAGCUGAAAUCAGUCGAAGAUACCAGCUGGCUGCAACUGUUUAUUAAAAACACAGCACUGUGCAAACACGAAAGUGGACGUAUACGGUGUGACGCCUGCCCGGUGCCGGAAGGUUAAUUGAUGGGGUUAUCCGUAAGGAGAAGCUCUUGAUCGAAGCCCCGGUAAACGGCGGCCGUAACUAUAACGGUCCUAAGGUAGCGAAAUUCCUUGUCGGGUAAGUUCCGACCUGCACGAAUGGCGUAAUGAUGGCCAGGCUGUCUCCACCCGAGACUCAGUGAAAUUGAACUCGCUGUGAAGAUGCAGUGUACCCGCGGCAAGACGGAAAGACCCCGUGAACCUUUACUAUAGCUUGACACUGAACACUGGUCCUUGAUGUGUAGGAUAGGUGGGAGGCUUUGAAGUGUGGACGCCAGUCUGCAUGGAGCCAUCCUUGAAAUACCACCCUUUAAUGGCUGGUGUUCUAACGUGGGCCCCUAAUCGGGGUUGCGGACAGUGUCUGGUGGGUAGUUUGACUGGGGCGGUCUCCUCCUAAAGAGUAACGGAGGAGCACGAAGGUCAGCUAAUCCUGGUCGGACAUCAGGAGGUUAGUGCAAUGGCAUAAGCUGGCUUGACUGCGAGCGUGACGGCGCGAGCAGGUGCGAAAGCAGGUCAUAGUGAUCCGGUGGUUCUGAAUGGAAGGGCCAUCGCUCAACGGAUAAAAGGUACUCCGGGGAUAACAGGCUGAUACCGCCCAAGAGUUCAUAUCGACGGCGGUGUUUGGCACCUCGAUGUCGGCUCAUCACAUCCUGGGGCUGAAGUAGGUCCCAAGGGUAUGGCUGUUCGCCAUUUAAAGUGGUACGCGAGCUGGGUUUAGAACGUCGUGAGACAGUUCGGUCCCUAUCUGCCGUGGGCGCUGGAGAAUUGAGGGGGGCUGCUCCUAGUACGAGAGGACCGGAGUGGACGCAUCACUGGUGUUCGGGUUGUCAUGCCAAUGGCAUUGCCCGGUAGCUAAAUGCGGAAGAGAUAAGUGCUGAAAGCAUCUAAGCACGAAACUUGCCCCGAGAUGAGUUCUCCCUGACCCUUUAAGGGUCCUGAAGGAACGUUGAAGACGACGACGUUGAUAGGCCGGGUGUGUAAGCGCAGCGAUGCGUUGAGCUAACCGGUACUAAUGAACCGUGAGGCUUAACCUU
RNAcentral lists this ribosomal RNA (2906 nucleotides) under Klebsiella michiganensis. RNAcentral describes it as "23S ribosomal RNA". It matches the Rfam family "Bacterial large subunit ribosomal RNA". The record is from RNAcentral. Lineage: Bacteria; Pseudomonadati; Pseudomonadota; Gammaproteobacteria; Enterobacterales; Enterobacteriaceae.